CCUUCCCCUUUCACUUUGCCAGGUGGACUUUGUGUCCUUUUUGGCCAUUCUUUAGGGGUAUAAAAAAAAUCCUUAUAAAAACCCAAGCAAAUUUCACUGUAUGUUUAGCUUGGUUCCUGUCUGAGGAGACACGG
Polypterus senegalus (gray bichir) is the source of this 134-nucleotide small nucleolar RNA. RefSeq annotates it as small nucleolar RNA SNORA27. NCBI's taxonomy places the organism in Eukaryota, Metazoa, Chordata, Cladistia, Polypteriformes, Polypteridae. The record is from RefSeq and is a predicted model, not a curated record. The transcript has a single exon.